Molecule: long non-coding RNA, 915 nt
Organism: Mesocricetus auratus (golden hamster)
Lineage: Eukaryota; Metazoa; Chordata; Mammalia; Rodentia; Cricetidae
Exons: 3
Source: RefSeq, a predicted model, not a curated record
CUCUGUUACUGAUGGUUAUGGUCUGGUCCGGUCCAAGUGUUCCCAGGCUCUUCUCGGCCCUUAUCCAGGGAACUGAAAAUAAAGAGCUUCACUCAGAUGUGCAAAGGAAACAAGGAAAGCUACAGAGACUGACUGGAGCCCUGCCCGAGAGAGACACUAUGUGAAUUUCAAAUAACAGUCGUAGGAAGGUGUAGCUCUCACAGCUUAUCAAGAAACUUCUUCUUGCACUAGAAGAGGGCCAUUACAAAUAUCCACGUCCGUCCAAAUGCAGAGAGCAACUGCCCAUGGGGUGCCCAACCACAACUGAUGCAUCUAUAACACAACCUUCACACCUAAGGCUCAGGGAACAUCACAGACGUUGGGGGUGAGAAGACUGAAGUACCCAGAGGACCAAGAUGACUGGGAAGCAGCACUCAUGAAAUCUCAAAGAUAUGGGCACAAUGAGCAAGACUUGCACAAUGACAAUACCAGUUGACAUGCCAACAUGAACGGAGGAAAUGUCACAGUGUCUUAUCCCUGGAUAAAGAAUUACAGGCAAUUAUUGGAUACUGAGAGGGUGCAAACCAGUCUUCUCCAGGGAUGGGCCUCCAUCCCAGCUUACCUAAACCCAAGUACUCAGCCCUAUACUAAUACACAUACAGGCAAUACAAAGUAGACAUAAUUAAAGAAGAAGAGGUCAUGAACUCAACAAGGAGGGAGCAUCAGAGGAUUUUGAGGAGGGAGGGAUAGAAAUGAUGCUAAUGCAGUACUUAUAUAUGAAAUUCUCAAAAUAAAACAAUAAAUUUAAAAAGAGAAGGAAAAUUGUUCACAAGGAACUUAUUACAUAUGUUCAUAAAUAUAGAUAUUUUAGCACAAACUGGACAUUAUGAAAUGUUAAUACCAUUGUUGAACAUAAUAAAGAAUGGCUACAUUCAA